This is a regulatory RNA element of Methylibium petroleiphilum PM1, 101 nucleotides long. It matches the Rfam family "SAH (S-adenosyl-L-homocysteine) riboswitch aptamer". The record is from Rfam. Lineage: Bacteria; Pseudomonadati; Pseudomonadota; Betaproteobacteria; Burkholderiales; Sphaerotilaceae.
GUGCUCGAGGAGCGUUGCGACGGUUGCCCAGGCUUUGGGACGACCGCCAGGCUCGGGCCGGCGGCACCGCGAGGGCUGCCCUGCAACGGCGCUCACCCCUC